Molecule: transfer RNA, 72 nt
Organism: Edhazardia aedis
Lineage: Eukaryota; Fungi; Microsporidia; Culicosporidae
Rfam family: tRNA
About the family: Transfer RNA (tRNA) molecules are approximately 80 nucleotides in length.
Source: Rfam
GCCCCUCUAGCUCAGUGGUAGAGCAUUCGGCUUUUAACCGUGGGGUCCAGGGUUCGAAUCCCUGGAGGGGUG